This 253-nucleotide ribosomal RNA is filed under the name uncultured bacterium. RNAcentral describes it as "partial 16S ribosomal RNA". It matches the Rfam family "Bacterial small subunit ribosomal RNA", at positions 524 to 776 of the family's 1533-position model. The record is from RNAcentral.
UACGUAGGGGGCUAGCGUUGUCCGGAUUUAUUAGGCGUAAAGAGCGUGUAGGCGGCCAUGUAGGUCCGGUGUGAAAACUCGAGGCUUAACCUCGAGAUGUCAUCGGAAACCAUUUGGCUAGAGUCCGGAAGAGGAGAGUGGAAUUCCUGGUGUAGCGGUGAAAUGCGCAGAUAUCAGGAAGAACACCAAUGGCGAAAGCAGCUCUCUGGGACGGUACUGACGCUGAGACGCGAAAGCGUGGGGAGCGAACAGG